Molecule: ribosomal RNA, 253 nt
Filed under: uncultured bacterium
Lineage: Bacteria
Description: partial 16S ribosomal RNA
Rfam family: Bacterial small subunit ribosomal RNA
Source: RNAcentral
UACGUAGGGGGAAAGCGUUGUCCGGAAUCAUUGGGCGAAAAGCGCGUGUAGGCGGCUCGAUAAGUCUGCUGUGAAAGUCCAGGGCUCAACCCUGGGAUGCCGGUGGAUACUGUCGAGCUCGAGUCCGGAAGAGGCGAGUGGAAUUCCUGGUGUAGCGGUGAAAUGCGCAGAUAUCAGGAGGAACACCUAUGGCGAAGGCAGCUCGCUGGGACGUGACUGACGCUGAGACGCGAAAGCGUGGGGAGCAAACAGG